This 888-nucleotide long non-coding RNA is filed under the name Equus caballus (horse). RNAcentral describes it as "lncRNA (ENSECAG00000044923.1)". Lineage: Eukaryota; Metazoa; Chordata; Mammalia; Perissodactyla; Equidae. The record is from RNAcentral.
CUCAGAAUUCGCUGGAGGGCUCGUUACUACGCAGGCAGCUGGGCCCCACCCCCAGUUCCUAUUCAGUGGGUCUGGGGUUGGGUCCCAGAACCUGCGUUCUCACAAGUUCCCAGCGACGCAGAUGCUGCUGAUCCACCGACCGCACUUUGAGAAUCCCUGGCCUAGAGCCUGGGUCUGCAGUGCGCGGAGGACACUCGCUGCCCGGAAGGAUACAGCUCAGGAACAACCAGAUGGAAGAGAUGCACAGGGCAAGGUGUGGGGAAAGGAUGAGGAGUUUCCCUGCUCUCUGAACGGACCACUCUCCCCAGAUCUCCAUGUGGUCACCAACCCAGAAGCUCUCUGAACCCCAUCCUUUUAGGUUUUCAUGGAGGCUUCAUUACACAGGCUAGGAACUGAUUGCUGCGCGCACCUGUGACCGCCCAGCUCCAGACAAUCAACUAGCCUCCUGCUACGCCCACCAAGAUAGCUGACCACUACCUGCUGUGUCCGUCAAGCACUGUGCCGACAGGGCAAUCUUGUGACUAUUGUGGGAGGGACAUUUCAGUCACAUGUGAAACACCCUGUUUGGGGGUAUAUAACCACUAUGUGCACCCCACUUCUUGGGUGCCCUUUCUUCCUUCGGGAAGAAAGGCCCCGGGCCAUGGUUCCUCAUAAAGCUUUGUUUAAUUUUCUCUUGCUAUUCUGUCUCAUGUGAAUUUAAUUCGUUCUCCAGCCAGACGAACCCACAUUUGGGAAGAGGAAAUGUCUUCCUCCCCUACAAUAUGUAAUGUUUACAUUACUAAAAAUUUUUAAUAUUAUUAUUCUAGAUUUUUUGCAAAUUUUGUUUUAUUUAUACGUUGAAGCAAGAGUUGUUUAAGAGACAUUAAAAAAAUUUUCCAAGCUAUCGAA